AACCUGUAAGUAAUCGAUAAUCCMCGAUAAUUCUUACUUUUAUUUAAAUUUUAUAUACCUCCAUCUUAAGAAUUUAUUUUUACAAUUAUAUUCCAAAAAGAUAUCUAAUAAGUUAGGUAAAGGUGUAGACUAUAUAAAAGAUAUAGUGGGUUACUUUAAAUAAAAUUUAAGGAAAAAAAAAAAAAUUUUUUUUAUAAAAAGGAUUUAUUAGUAAUGUUAAAAUAAUAAUUUAACUUGAAAUUGAUAAAAAAUGUGU
This 256-nucleotide ribosomal RNA is filed under the name Trichonephila komaci. Its description in RNAcentral is "Nephila komaci partial 12S ribosomal RNA". The record is from RNAcentral. Lineage: Eukaryota; Metazoa; Arthropoda; Arachnida; Araneae; Nephilidae.